This 74-nucleotide transfer RNA is filed under the name Olsenella sp. RNAcentral describes it as "tRNA-Gln". It matches the Rfam family "tRNA". Rfam says of the family: Transfer RNA (tRNA) molecules are approximately 80 nucleotides in length. Lineage: Bacteria; Bacillati; Actinomycetota; Coriobacteriia; Coriobacteriales; Atopobiaceae. The record is from RNAcentral.
UGGGACGUCGUCUAGUGGUAGGACAACGGAUUCUGGUUCCGUCAGCGGGAGUUCGACUCUCUCCGUCCCAGCCA